CCUACGGGUGGCAGCAGUAGGGAAUAUUGCUCAAUGGGGGAAACCCUGAAGCAGCAACGCCGCGUGGAGGAUGAAGGUUUUCGGAUUGUAAACUCCUUUUGUUAGAGAAGAUAAUGACGGUAUCUAACGAAUAAGCACCGGCUAACUCCGUGCCAGCAGCCGCGGUAAUACGUAGGGUGCAAGCGUUACUCGGAAUUACUGGGCGUAAAGAGCGCGUAGGCGGGAUAGCAAGUCAGAUGUGAAAGCCUAUGGCUUAACCAUAGAACUGCAUUUGAAACUGUUAUUCUAGAGUAUGGAAGAGGAGGGUGGAAUUCUUGGUGUAGGGGUAAAAUGCGUAGAGAUCAAGAAGAAUACUCAUUGCGAAGGCGACCUGCUAGAACAUAACUGACGCUGAUGCGCGAAAGCGUGGGGAGCAAACAGGAUUAGAUACCCGAGUAGUC
RNAcentral lists this ribosomal RNA (440 nucleotides) under uncultured bacterium. RNAcentral's name for it is "partial 16S ribosomal RNA". It matches the Rfam family "Bacterial small subunit ribosomal RNA", at positions 338 to 795 of the family's 1533-position model. The record is from RNAcentral.